Molecule: long non-coding RNA, 4603 nt
Organism: Oncorhynchus tshawytscha (Chinook salmon)
Lineage: Eukaryota; Metazoa; Chordata; Actinopteri; Salmoniformes; Salmonidae
Source: Ensembl
UUUAUUUUGUAUUGUGUUGUUUUAUAAAGGAAUAUGCUGGCAAGUAAUGUAUACCCUAAUGUAAUUACAAGUAAUUAGAGAGUAUAAAAUUGGGAAUAAAUGACUACCAUUAUAAUCAUAAUGGAUUAUGAAUAAUAUAUCAAUCGGAGUGCAUCAUAUUUACAAAAUAACAACCGUUAUCAAACCAUGAAUUCAUAAUACAAAUUCCUUUAAACAAUGUCAAUUGCAACACUCUCAGAGCCUAAUAUCAGGAGAAAGUUCAAAAUGUCUGUGGAUGGCCCUUGUAUUGGCAGUAAGGUAAUGGUGCCUCCCUCUUUGGGAGGCAGCAUUACCACUCAUCAGUCAAAUGCAUUGUAAAUUACAGGGCCCGGGUAAUAAAACCAGAUUUGUACAUCACCAGGACUGGAGACUGUCUGUCUUGUAAAUUUAAUUAAACAGCAGGUGCAAAAUCAGGUCAUGUGGCUUUGAUGUGUCCCAUGUGAGAAUGACAAGCAGACAAAGAUUCUAAUAUGGGAAGCAUUUACAUAUUUUUGCAUGUGCACGCGUGUACAAGGGGAGCUGCCGUCACCGUGUAGAGUAUUCCAAUUCGCCCAAAUUAAGAGAGAUUCAAAUUAGCUGUCACCUUCAAUUUCAAUAGCUCGUCGCCAAAAUAAACGGUUAAGCUCUUCAAAAGCAAUCCCUGCUCGUCAAAUGCAGAGUAAACACACAUAUUACCAACAGCUUGUCGAGACGGGAAGAUUUGCACUAAUCAGGUCUUAUAGCAAAUAAAAUAAAAUGUUAUUGGUCGCAUACACAUAUUUAGCAGGUGUAGCAAAAUGCUUGUGGAGCCAUGAACAGGACGACCAUGUCAAUCAGCGCCAUCUUGUCAAGUCUGUGCACGACAACACAGAAAACCUACCUAAAGAAAACACUCAUCAACCAGUGCCUACAAUACAGUAGAAUCACAUUUGAUUUUCCAACCUACUAGUCAGCUCUUAAUAGACUUGAUCCAGAGUGAUGCACAUCCUCUUAUGGAUGAGUGUGACCUGUGACACCGUUCUCUCGCCAUCUCCGUGGCAGAAGACAGACAUCGAUUGAAGUUGACUAGCGAAAUGUCAGCUGCCUGACCUGAUGGCAACACCUUUGCUUGUUUUUGGGAAGAAGUGGUUGAUAAUUACCACCUAGAAUGUAGCCAUCUGUCCCGCUCUUUCAUGACCUGUUAAACUCGCUUUUCAAAAAGUUUACUGGUGACAGAGGGCACGUGACGGAAAAGAGUGUGCACUCAAGCCAGAGCUAAGGAGCUCAUAGAACCAUUACUGUACUGUAGAUACACCAAACAGCUCUAAUAAACUUGAAGUUAUUAUGGGAAAACAAGGAAAGCAGAAGAGGGAAGAAAAGAUGUCAGAAAAGAUUAAAUAUGAAUUUGAAGUAAUAUGCUUACGGGAAUAAGAACCUAAUUCUGUUGAACAGAACAAAUAACUCAACCAAAGCCAACAACCUAGUGUCACCAUGAGUUAAUCAUCGGUUGCUUUCAAUUUCUCCCACACAUUGCCAAUAGUUUGACAUCUACUCUCAUUCCAGAGAAAGUCAGUGAUUUUGCAACUUACAUAAAACCGACUAUCAGCAUUGUCAAUUACAUAUGGGUUUUUCCCCUAGUCUUCAGAGACACCUGUGUUUUCACAGUAAGGAAUCUGCUAUCAACAACAUGCUUGCCCGAUGUCUAUUUAUCUGUCUGUCAGUUUGACAGAGUCUUUGGGAAAUCCUCACUUGUCAGAACUAUUUCUCUCAUGUUUCACUGAGUUUUUAAUGAGAAGCACCAGGCAAAAUCCACAAGCAACGUGAGAGCAGAAGGGGGGGGACAGGUGGAUAGCUGGGAGCUUCGGUAUAACUGAACACCAUGUGGUAUACAUCUCUUUUGAUUACUGCCACAUCCAAUCACACUAAUCAAACACGCAUCAAAGAGCAGAAGUUAUAGACCGAUGACUGAAUGACACAAUGUAAAGACUGGUGCAGUGUGAAAUCUGCCAACACUAUCAUUGGUGGUUUCAAAACAAUGCACAGUGUCCACCCACUCUGCCAAGACGCACUUUGGUGAUGAAAUUUCACUUCCUUAUGUUAUCAAAUACAUUUUACCAAGACAAAUAUGAUUAUUCAUGUCUGAAUCAUUGUGGGGUCUUUCUCUAACAUAUUAGUAUUAUAUCCAAAAAGUUGGAUUUCGUAAUCUAAUACAUACGAUAAUAAGCACCAAGAUCUGUUGACAUCGUGGUACAGGUUUCUCAUAACUUCUAAAGAUGUUACAUUUUGAGGUCAUCGUCUUCCAAGUAGUUAACAGGUCGCAAAAAGCAAAUGAGAAUGAAUUAAAUGUAAAAGACUGAUAAUAAAAAGCUUGGAAUGCUCAGCGUUCAUUUUAUAGAGAUUCAAUCAUUUCUUACAAACAAGCAUAAAAGAACAGGAAUUUCCAAUUCAUAUGAAAAGUGUGUACUAAAAUAUGAAAAUACGUCAUGUCUCAAAAUCGAUAUCCAUCUUAGCUCUAUAUUGUUUUAUGUCCUGCGGAUUGGAGAAGAAAGAUGACCAGUUCAACAGGGAAGUGAGCCUGUCAGGUAGCCAAUAGCCUUAAAUCUGCCACAGAAUCCAGCCUAGCUGACACAAUGCAAUUUUCCACUUUUUUUUACCACUUUUUUCCCCCUCCGGCCUCCAUUGAUUUAGUCACCCGAAUUCUGACCAUCCCACAAGGGUAAAGACUCCAAUAACUCGAACGGGUUAUGAUAGACACGAGGUUUGGACCAUUGGAAUACUUAGAGGAUUAUCUACAGAAUUAACAUACUAUUUAAAAAACACUGCUCGAAAGAUACAUUUUUGAUUGGAACUUGUGUGAAUUCUGAUUUUUUUCCAGUGCCUGAAUAUCACGACUCAGGAUAAGGCCCAUAUGCAGACAGUUCGAAGCACAGUUAUUUAUUGACAAAUCAGGGGACAGACAAAAGACAGGUCAAGAGCAGGCAGGAGGUCAGUAAUCCAGGGCAGAGUCAGUAAGGUACAGAACGGCAGGCAGGUUCGGGGUUAGGGCAGGCAGAGGUCAGUAAUCCAGGGCAGAGUCAGUAAGGUACAGAACGGCAGGCAGGUUCGGGGUUAGGGCAGGCAGAGGUCAGUAAUCCAGGGCAGAGUCAGUAAGGUACAGAACGGCAGGCAGGUUCGGGGUUAGGGCAGGCAGAGAUCAGUAAUCCAGGGCAGAGUCAGUAAGGUAAAGAACGGCAGGCAGGCUCGGGGUUAGGGCAGGCAGAGGUCAGUAAUCCAGGGCAGAGUCAGUAAGGUACAGAACGGCAGGCAGAGGUCAGUAAUCCAGGGCAGAGUCAGUAAGGUACAGAACGGCAGGCAGAGGUCAGUAAUCCAGGGCAGAGUCAGUAAGGUACAGAACGGCAGAAAAAAACCCGACGGUAAGCUUGACGAGACAAGACGAACUGGCAACAGACAAGCAGAAAACACAGGUAUGAAUGCACAGGGGAUAAUGGGGAAAAUGGGCGACACCUGGAGGGGGUGGAGACAAGCACAAGCCAAGUGAAACAGAUCAGGGUGUGACACUAAGGCUAUGCAGCAGUUUGAUAAUGUAGAAUGUGUUUUUUAAAUUUAUUUUACUCUUAAGAUCAAGCCCACAUAGAUCCAUAACCAGGUGUGGUGUUUAGUGGUGUUUCGGGAAGGUGGGAGCUAGAUACAGUAUAUCCAACAUGCUUUUUUGUGACUAUGAACAUUAAGGUGUAAUUGAGCUUUGCAAUGUAACUCGACCCCUUUAAAGAAAAAUACGCAAAUGCUGAGAACUAAAGCUAAACCAGUCAAAAUCCCUCAACUGUAGUUACAUCAUAUGCCUUAUCACACAUGCAGUAGUUACAACAUCUGCCUUAUCCCACAUGCCUUCUCUUGUCCUACAUUCUUGUCCUACAUAUAAUCAAUCUUCCCUUGAAACGAUCUAAGUCAUAAAAUAUGAGUGUUUGCUGAUUGACUCUCCGAUACACAUUUCAAACAUAUUUGUGCAUCUGCAUUCGCCUGCAUUCACUACCAACACAUUCCUCGAGCCUGCUCAGGUCUGAGGGUGUCAGAACAGAUACAGAGAAACAGCUAUUUUUUCACCUGCAGCACAGAACAACAUCUCCACGGAGGCCAGCAGCAGCAGAUAUGUCAUAGCGAGAGAGACAGAGCAGUUGAGAAGGUGAAUGACUGCAGGCGGUCCUCAGAGGGAGAGGUGGAGGGUGGAGCCCCAUGGGUUGGAACAACCCCAUGGAGAGUAGACAUAUCAGCACUAUUGAGUUGUUACACAACAUCUACUGUAGGUCAUGAAUGCACUACCUCUGGUAUUUUAACAUGAACUGGAAAGUUUAGAGGCUCGGUAUGAGGUUGAUAUGAGGUGAAUUUGGUGCAACACAAAAGCAAGAACUUUACAAUUUAGUCAUUUAGCAGAAACUCUUAUCCAGAGUGACUUACAGGAGCAAUUAGUCUUAAGUUCCUUGCUCAAGGGCACAUCGAGAGAGCCUUGUUGGCUCGGGGAUUCAAACCAGUAACCUUUCAAUUAAUGGCCCAAUACUCUAACCACUACCUUCCCCCCCAAUCAAUCCAAUCAGUACUUGGACUGGUAACU